This is a non-coding RNA of Phascolarctos cinereus (koala), 315 nucleotides long. NCBI's taxonomy places the organism in Eukaryota, Metazoa, Chordata, Mammalia, Diprotodontia, Phascolarctidae. The record is from RefSeq and is a predicted model, not a curated record.
UGGAGAAGAGCUCAUGACUGAACAAGUGAUUGAGGGGAUAAGACAAAAAGAAAUAGAGAAUUUUGAUUAUAUAAAAUGGACACUGAGGAGAAAAGAACACUGGACUGAGAUUCAGAAUGGAAUUCUUGUCUCGUCUCUAUCAUUUAGUCACUGUGAGACCUUGGACAAGUCACUUAUAUUGUUUGGGCCUUAAUGUCUUUAUCUAUAAACCACAGCUGUAGACACCAGCAAUUUCCAAGAUCCAUUUUAGGAUAGAGGACACGAAGCAGAGAAGGAGACAAUAAAUAUACAGAGACUGAGGAUUAGAGAGAGAGG